RNAcentral lists this ribosomal RNA (267 nucleotides) under uncultured bacterium. RNAcentral describes it as "partial 16S ribosomal RNA". It matches the Rfam family "Bacterial small subunit ribosomal RNA", at positions 29 to 274 of the family's 1533-position model. The record is from RNAcentral.
AACGAACGCUGGCGGCGUGCCUAACACAUGCAAGUCGAGCGAGAAAAGGGGAGCAAUCCCCUGAGUACAGCGGCGCACGGGUGAGUAACACGUAGGUGAUCUCCCCUCGAGCCCGGAACUAACCUACCGAAAGGUGGGCUAAUACCGGAUAUGACCACGGGAGGUUUUGGUCUCCUGCGGUGAAAGAUGGCCUCUACCUGUAAGCUAUCACUCAAGGAUGAGCCUGCGNGCCAUUAGCUAGUUGGUGAGGUAACGGCUCACCAAGGC